Molecule: long non-coding RNA, 1071 nt
Organism: Rosa rugosa (rugosa rose)
Lineage: Eukaryota; Viridiplantae; Streptophyta; Magnoliopsida; Rosales; Rosaceae
Exons: 3
Source: RefSeq, a predicted model, not a curated record
UAGCUUUGGUACGCAACCCGACUCCCCAAUCUCACCCUCGUCGAGCCAGAGUCAUCGUCUCCAGUUCUCCACCCAAAAUCCAUGUCUUCUCACCAUUGACGUUUGAAACUCGCCUCAUGUUGCACAAUUGUCGCAACCCAAGCUUCCUUCUUUUUCUUCCUCUCACAAAAUUGUAGUCCUCCGAUGGUAUCGACCUCCCUUGGAGUUUUCGCCCCAAAAAUUGAAGACUUGGAAGCACAUAUAGUCAUCUAGAGUUUUUCUCGAGUAUGGGUUCCCUCUUUUCUGAUACUUUUGAUUUCCAAUUGCUUUUUUGUGUACUAUGUUUUUCUUGUGACUGCUUGUAGAUCAAGUGAAGAAGCCCAUUCAUGAUCUGCUGUACGCAUGGAGAAAGUUGAAAUUGGAGUCAUGGCAGGCAUUGCUUGACGAAGUGCAGGAUCAAUAGUAGAUUAAUGCUGGAAAGUUGUGGUUUUCUCUUUACUCAGUUCUACGAAAGCGAACUUCUCCUGAUGCUACUGAAUACAAAUUGUCUACUAUCCAAAUUGUGGAGGACUUCAUUUGCACAUCCAGCUUUGGUGAAUUUAGAAAAAGCCUUCAACUUCUUUUUGCGUUCCUUGGCCAUAUAAAAACUGGCAUAUGCCUUCAAGCUAGUAUUUUUUGAGAGCUUCAGCUCAAGCUAGUACUAGGAAACCAGGGGCUCAUUAGUUGUUAAUCAACAGAGUAGCUAUAAAUAUCGGUCGAAUCAUUUUAGACCAGUAAAAGUCUGUAUAUCAUUGUGGGAUUAUCAAUUCCCAAGGAAAUAUUAGUCCCACUUUAAAAUGACUUGGCAUAUAUUAUAUUUUAUUUGCACUCAUAGAAGGGAAAGAAGAAAAGAACAAAUAAGAAUAUAUAAUUUAUGUGGUUCCUUUGUAGUGUGCUUACGCCUGAUCAAAGACUGAUUUAAGUGUUGCUGCAUUUUAUCAAUGUGCUUUAAUAUGCAAAUAAUGGAAUAACUACAAAGGAAAACACAGUGAUAUAUCAUUUCUAUCUUCUGCUUAACUCAUUUAUCCUUGUGUAUCUGAUUAAUUGGUGAAC